Molecule: non-coding RNA, 547 nt
Organism: Oryctolagus cuniculus (rabbit)
Lineage: Eukaryota; Metazoa; Chordata; Mammalia; Lagomorpha; Leporidae
Source: RefSeq, a predicted model, not a curated record
UGAAAAAAUACAAUUGUGAGAAGUUUAAAAACAUCAUUGAGUCCAUACUGACCAAGAAGCUCCACUUGGAGGAGCCGCUGGCAGAGAAGCCCACGGUCCCAGAGCUGCUCAGUCACCAUCACCUCCUGAUAUAGAAGACUGAUGCUCAGCUUGGCCCUGCCAGACCUUCAUUCUUGUUUCUUGCCAUGUAACCCCUGCAUGCACCAGGAUUCCCAGUCACUGCACUGUACACUGUGUGUCUUCCUACAUGGAAAUGCCUGUGGCUGGAAGGAGGAACUGAAUUAGCACCUUUAUGAAGGAGAGGAAGGAAGAAUCCUUGCACUGUUGAUAGAUAACAACCCUAAUAGAAUCUCAGGAAUUGUGACAAGAUCUUUCUCUAAAAGUGGGAGCAAGACCUUGUGUUGCCCUUUGCUUUUCUUGGCACAGGUAUUUCUCCAAACCUGAGUGGUGAUGCUGGUGGAGGGCUCUAUAAGGCAUUGUUAUGAAAAUCUGUUGAAACACAGAGAGCCUAACACUCAUUCCUUCCCAUCUAGAACUUUCUCCACUC